UACGGGGGGGGCAAGCGUUGUUCGGAAUUACUGGGCGUAAAGGGCUCGUAGGUGGCCAACUAAGUCAGACGUGAAAUCCCUCGGCUUAACCGGGGAACUGCGUCUGAUACUGGAUGGCUUGAAUCCGGGAGAGGGAUGCGGAAUUCCAGGUGUAGCGGUGAAAUGCGUAGAUAUCUGGAGGAACACCGGUGGCGAAGGCGGCAUCCUGGACCGGUAUUGACGCUGAUGAGCGAAAGCCAGGGGAGCAAACGGG
Molecule: ribosomal RNA, 253 nt
Filed under: uncultured bacterium
Lineage: Bacteria
Description: partial 16S ribosomal RNA
Rfam family: Bacterial small subunit ribosomal RNA
Source: RNAcentral